UACAGGGGGUGCAAACGUUGCUCGGAAUCAUUGGGCGUAAAGCGUGCGCAGGCGGUUCGCCAAGUCAGGUGCGAAAUCCCCGGGCUUAACCUGGGAAUUGCGCUUGAAACUAGCGGGCUUGAGUGUGGCAGAGGGGGGUGGAAUUCCACGUGUAGCAGUGAAAUGCGUAGAGAUGUGGAGGAACACCGAUGGCGAAGGCAGCCCCCUGGGUCAACACUGACGCUCAUGCACGAAAGCGUGGGGAGCAAACAGG
Molecule: ribosomal RNA, 253 nt
Filed under: uncultured prokaryote
Description: partial 16S ribosomal RNA
Rfam family: Bacterial small subunit ribosomal RNA
Source: RNAcentral